This 1445-nucleotide ribosomal RNA is filed under the name Streptococcus thermophilus. RNAcentral describes it as "bacterial SSU rRNA". It matches the Rfam family "Bacterial small subunit ribosomal RNA". The record is from RNAcentral. Lineage: Bacteria; Bacillati; Bacillota; Bacilli; Lactobacillales; Streptococcaceae.
GUGGGGGGAGCUAUACAUGCAAGUAGAACGCUGAAGAGAGGAGCUUGCUCUUCUUGGAUGAGUUGCGAACGGGUGAGUAACGCGUAGGUAACCUGCCUUGUAGCGGGGGAUAACUAUUGGAAACGAUAGCUAAUACCGCAUAACAAUGGAUGACACAUGUCAUUUAUUUGAAAGGGGCAAUUGCUCCACUACAAGAUGGACCUGCGUUGUAUUAGCUAGUAGGUGAGGUAAUGGCUCACCUAGGCGACGAUACAUAGCCGACCUGAGAGGGUGAUCGGCCACACUGGGACUGAGACACGGCCCAGACUCCUACGGGAGGCAGCAGUAGGGAAUCUUCGGCAAUGGGGGCAACCCUGACCGAGCAACGCCGCGUGAGUGAAGAAGGUUUUCGGAUCGUAAAGCUCUGUUGUAAGUCAAGAACGGGUGUGAGAGUGGAAAGUUCACACUGUGACGGUAGCUUACCAGAAAGGGACGGCUAACUACGUGCCAGCAGCCGCGGUAAUACGUAGGUCCCGAGCGUUGUCCGGAUUUAUUGGGCGUAAAGCGAGCGCAGGCGGUUUGAUAAGUCUGAAGUUAAAGGCUGUGGCUCAACCAUAGUUCGCUUUGGAAACUGUCAAACUUGAGUGCAGAAGGGGAGAGUGGAAUUCCAUGUGUAGCGGUGAAAUGCGUAGAUAUAUGGAGGAACACCGGUGGCGAAAGCGGCUCUCUGGUCUGUAACUGACGCUGAGGCUCGAAAGCGUGGGGAGCGAACAGGAUUAGAUACCCUGGUAGUCCACGCCGUAAACGAUGAGUGCUAGGUGUUGGAUCCUUUCCGGGAUUCAGUGCCGCAGCUAACGCAUUAAGCACUCCGCCUGGGGAGUACGACCGCAAGGUUGAAACUCAAAGGAAUUGACGGGGGCCCGCACAAGCGGUGGAGCAUGUGGUUUAAUUCGAAGCAACGCGAAGAACCUUACCAGGUCUUGACAUCCCGAUGCUAUUUCUAGAGAUAGAAAGUUACUUCGGUACAUCGGUGACAGGUGGUGCAUGGUUGUCGUCAGCUCGUGUCGUGAGAUGUUGGGUUAAGUCCCGCAACGAGCGCAACCCCUAUUGUUAGUUGCCAUCAUUCAGUUGGGCACUCUAGCGAGACUGCCGGUAAUAAACCGGAGGAAGGUGGGGAUGACGUCAAAUCAUCAUGCCCCUUAUGACCUGGGCUACACACGUGCUACAAUGGUUGGUACAACGAGUUGCGAGUCGGUGACGGCGAGCUAAUCUCUUAAAGCCAAUCUCAGUUCGGAUUGUAGGCUGCAACUCGCCUACAUGAAGUCGGAAUCGCUAGUAAUCGCGGAUCAGCACGCCGCGGUGAAUACGUUCCCGGGCCUUGUACACACCGCCCGUCACACCACGAGAGUUUGUAACACCCGAAGUCGGUGAGGUAACCUUUGGAGCCAGCCGCUAAGGUGAACCAG